This 20-nucleotide small nuclear RNA is filed under the name Arabidopsis thaliana (thale cress). RNAcentral's name for it is "snRNA_10430". Lineage: Eukaryota; Viridiplantae; Streptophyta; Magnoliopsida; Brassicales; Brassicaceae. The record is from RNAcentral.
AAGCUGCUAAGCUAUGGAUC